This 686-nucleotide ribosomal RNA is filed under the name bacterium enrichment culture clone SC-2_11. RNAcentral describes it as "bacterial SSU rRNA". It matches the Rfam family "Bacterial small subunit ribosomal RNA", at positions 1 to 688 of the family's 1533-position model. The record is from RNAcentral.
UAGAGUUUGAUCCUGGCUCAGAUUGAACGCUGGCGGCAUGCCUUACACAUGCAAGUCGGACGGCAGCGCGGGCUUCGGCCUGGCGGCGAGUGGCGAACGGGUGAGUAAUACAUCGGAACGUGUCCUGGAGUGGGGGAUAGCCCGGCGAAAGCCGGAUUAAUACCGCAUACGCUCUGCGGAGGAAAGCGGGGGACCUUCGGGCCUCGCGCUCAAGGGGCGGCCGAUGGCAGAUUAGCUAGUUGGUGGGGUAAAGGCCUACCAAGGCGACGAUCUGUAGCUGGUCUGAGAGGACGACCAGCCACACUGGGACUGAGACACGGCCCAGACUCCUACGGGAGGCAGCAGUGGGGAAUUUUGGACAAUGGGGGCAACCCUGAUCCAGCAAUGCCGCGUGUGUGAAGAAGGCCUUCGGGUUGUAAAGCACUUUUGUCCGGAAAGAAAGCGUCCUGGCUAAUACCUGGGGCGGAUGACGGUACCGGAAGAAUAAGCACCGGCUAACUACGUGCCAGCAGCCGCGGUAAUACGUAGGGUGCGAGCGUUAAUCGGAAUUACUGGGCGUAAAGCGUGCGCAGGCGGUUCGCUAAGACCGAUGUGAAAUCCCCGGGCUUAACCUGGGAACUGCAUUGGUGACUGGCGGGCUAGAGUAUGGCAGAGGGAGGUAGAAUUCCACGUGUAGCAGUGAAAUG